CUUGAGGGGGGGGUCGUGAUAGGUCAAUAGGAAUUAAACGUCUUCUGCAUACAACGUUUACAUAAACGAGAGAAAGAAACGUCAUUGAAGGGGGGAGCAGCUGAUAGUUGAAGCAGCAAGCGUCAUCUUGGACCGUAGAGAAGUGCCACACAGAUAGGUUUAGAAAAUUCUGGAAACUUUUACCCAAAUUCCCCAGAAAUGUCAGCCGGAAUUAAGAGGGAAUAAGCAGAACACACCAAAAUCCUCUAAAAACCGGGAUUUCUGGAAAAUUUGUGUUUUUUUUUUUAAUGUAAGCCGCACACACAGACCAAACAUGUACAUUCACUCAUUUUAUACAGACUCAUAUCAUUUCUUAAGAAGAAAAACAACCUUCGGGUGCAUCACUGGUAUUCACCAUCAGGCUGGUGACAAUUAAAUACAAUUUUUUAUAUUUUUUUUAAAGAUCAUUACCCAUGAUGCACCACACAGGAAAGUACAGUCAGCAAAAAAACAAACUGGCUUCCAUUUUGAACAUUGUUUAUUUUGUACAUAUUCAGCUCUGUGCAGUGGAAUACAACUGUGAAUGUAAAAAGGUCAUUCUGUAAAUGGGAAGGAGAGUAAAAGCAGAAAGUAUCUAAACAUUUUUUUAAACUACCCACGUUUGACUACCCAAACAACAACCGGACUUGAAUUUAAAAUAAUAAAAAAAUAUUGGGUAGGUCCCCAAAUGGCACCCCGGUCACCAUAAGGCUCGAGUCAAAAGUAGUGCACUACAUAGGGAAAAGAGUGCCAUUUGGGGACGCACUCUGGUGGGGGGGGGGCAGGAAAGCAUAUUGUUGGACACAAACACACCUACGAAAACACCCACAUUCUCGGUGUUGUCCAGAAUGAGAGAAAAAAAAAAAAACUUUCCAAGAAAACACAAGCUCUUUCUUUCUGACCUCACGUUCCCUUUAAACAAAUGAUUAUACCGCUAUAAUAAACCCCAAGACAUUCUCCAGUAAUGCAGUGACAGCUGUUUGUGGUUGUUUGGUUGUUUGAAAGCACAAAGUUAAGGCACAACCAGGUCAACAACCGCUGCAGGGGGACAGGACUGCACCAGGUUAAUUAAAACAUUUUUUAAUUUUUUUUAAAUGUGCAUCAUUUUGUACAAUUUACAGCAAUCCCACUUUCAACUUCACACAGCACCCCCCCCCAACAAAAUAUACAAAUAAUCUUAAUGGUGGCGAUUCCUUUGAUCUUGAAGCAUUAUGAAUGUGUUAAUUGUUUGACGACAACAUCAAAUCCAGCUCACGUGCAAAUCAUUCAGGACUUUACAGUCUCCAUUUAGACACAACAGGUGGGUGGAAUAGGAGGGGGGGUGCAUAUCAAAAUGGCACCCUAUUCCCCUAAAUAGUACACUACUUUGGGUUGAAAAAGAGGCUGGCGUUUGGAACACGGCCACGUGUAGCUUUGUACUUUAAACUAAAAACAAUGUUUAAAUGAUUGUGAAUCAUUUCUGCAUCAAUGUUAAAACACUGUUUUAUUUCCGUGUUACACAUCUAAAAAAAAACACAACGGGUUUUGUGUGUUCUCUCUCUGCAUCAUUUCUGACUAUAAUAAUAUUACAUGAGGUCUGCGUUUAAUCAACAACAACGGCUGGAUACAAUUAAAGAACCACAAAUAAACAAAACAAGUCUAAAUGACUUUCAACAUGGCAGGAGAAAGAGUUCGCUCACGUCCAAAAAAUGAACCCUAUUCCCUAUAUAGUGCACUACUUUAGACCAGAGCCCUAUUCCCUAUAUAGUGCACUACUAUAGACCAGAGCCCUAUUCCCUAUAUAGUACACUACUUUAGACCAGAGCCCUAUUCCCUAUAUAGUGCACUACUAUAGACCAGAGCCCUAUUCCCUACAUAGUGCACUACUAUAGACCAGAGCCCUAUUCCCUACAUAGUGCACUACUUUAGACCAGAGCCCUAUUCCCUAUAUAGUGCACUACUUUAGACCAGAGCCCUAUUCCCUAUAUAGUGCACUACUAUAGACCAGAGCCCUAUUCCCUAUAUAGUGCACUACUUUAGACCAGAGCCCUAUUCCCUAUAUAGUGCACUACUAUAGACCAGAGCCCUAUUCCCUACAUAGUGCACUACUUUAGACCAGAGCCCUAUUCCCUAUAUAGUGCACUACUAUAGACCAGAGCCCUAUUCCCUAUAUAGUGCACUACUUUAGACCAGGGCCCUAUUCCCUAUAUAUUGCACUACUUUAGACCAGGGCCCAUAGGGGUAGUGCACUACUUUAGACCAGGGCUCAUAGGGGUAGUGCACUACUAUAGACAAGGACCCAUAGGGUAGUGCACUACUAUAGACCAGGACCCCAUAGAGGUAGUGCACUACUAUAGACCAGGACCCCAUAGAGGUAGUGCACUACUAUAGACCAGGACCCCAUAGAGGUAGUGCACUACUAUAGACCAGGACCCCAUAGGGGUAGUGCACAACUUUAGACCAGGGGCCCUUAGGGGUAGUGCACUACUUUAGACCAGGGCCCCAUAGGGGUAGUGCACUACUUUAGACCAGGGCCCCAUAGGGGUAGUGCACUACUUUAGACUAGGGCUCCAUAGGGGUAGUGCACUACUUUAGACUAGGGCUCCAUAGGGGUAGUGCACUACUUUAGACCAGGGGCCCUUAGGGGUAGUGCACUACUUUAGACCAGGGCUGCCUGAGGGAGGAAAGAUACUUAAAAUGGCCGCCAAUAUAGAGUUAAGACAGAAAACCAAAGAAGCCAAAAAAUACAACAUGGACGACUAACUGAUCGCUCACGUUAUCAGCCCCCCUCUUCUCUAAACUCCUUUCAAUCGAAGACGUAGGCCCCCUGGGGGGGGGUUGCACCAACACCACCUGCCAAAAUCACUGUCUCGCAACAAGUUAUCCUCCCAAUGUCUCACAAACGCUUCCACUUCUGGAUACAAAAUCUGAUGCAGUCAGUAUGUUAAAAGAGUAUUGUAGCUAGUAGGCAGGAGAAGAGAGAGAGAGAAAAAAAAAGAGAGCUUAUGGUUUUUGUCUUUAUUAAUACAGAUCAUUCAAAAGGAAGCCACCGCCACCAGCCUGCCUUUCCUCCGCCGGCUCGACUAAAAACUAAAGAAAAUGCAAUAAGGGAUUACAUUCUCCAGGAAAUAAACAUUCAGAUUAUUGGUAUAAAUUCAAAAGCUUAAAUAGGAGGCUUUAACUUUAACCUGCACAUAAAGCAAAUUCAAUGUAUAGCCCCAAACUCAACUCCUUGAAAAAUCAUGGGGCCAGUCUCGUUAAAAAAAGGGGAUGGAGGGAGGAGAGGAUGGAGGGAGGAGAGGAUGGAGGGAGGAGAGGAUGGAGAGAGGAGAGGAUGGAGAGAGGAGAGGAUGGAGGGAGGAGAGGAUGGAGGGAGGAGAGGAUGGAGGGAUGGAGGAGAGGAUGGAGGAUGGAGGGAGG
Oncorhynchus tshawytscha (Chinook salmon) is the source of this 3417-nucleotide long non-coding RNA. The record is from Ensembl. NCBI's taxonomy places the organism in Eukaryota, Metazoa, Chordata, Actinopteri, Salmoniformes, Salmonidae.